This 69-nucleotide transfer RNA is filed under the name Marmota monax (woodchuck). RNAcentral's name for it is "tRNA.Gly". Lineage: Eukaryota; Metazoa; Chordata; Mammalia; Rodentia; Sciuridae. The record is from RNAcentral.
GGUUUGUGGCUCAGUAGGUAGAGUGCUGGCCUACCAUGUAUGAGGCACUGGGUUCAAUUUUCAGUACCA